This 253-nucleotide ribosomal RNA is filed under the name uncultured bacterium. RNAcentral describes it as "partial 16S ribosomal RNA". It matches the Rfam family "Bacterial small subunit ribosomal RNA", at positions 524 to 776 of the family's 1533-position model. The record is from RNAcentral.
UACGGGGGGGGCAAGCGUUGUUCGGAAUUACUGGGCGUAAAGGGCUCGUAGGCGGCCAACUAAGUCGGACGUGAAAUCCCCAGGCUCAACUUGGGAACUGCGUCCGAUACUGGAUGGCUUGAAUUCGGGAGAGGGAUGCAGAAUUCCAGGUGUAGCGGUGAAAUGCGUAGAUAUCUGGAGGAAUACCGGUGGCGAAGGCGGCAGCCUGGACCGACAUUGACGCUGAUGAGCGAAAGCCAGGGGAGCAAACGGG